This is a long non-coding RNA of Brienomyrus brachyistius, 2703 nucleotides long. RefSeq lists it as uncharacterized. The record is from RefSeq and is a predicted model, not a curated record. The transcript is spliced from 2 exons. Lineage: Eukaryota; Metazoa; Chordata; Actinopteri; Osteoglossiformes; Mormyridae.
CCCACAUGGCGGACAUACGACCGGUCAGUGGGAGCCGAUCGCGAUCGAAAGUCGCCGACGACCUGCAUAGGAUUGUAUUGUCUGUUAUGCUUGCAACAAAAUGGAGAAGAACAAGAUGAAAGUGCUCAAGAUUAAAAUAAAAAUAAAAGUGAAAGUAAUAGCCGAGGAAGGAGAUACGGAGAAGCCCCGUUCUACACAGAGGACGUGCUACAUGCAGAAGGUAAAGCCCUAGAUUAAGAGACUUUAUUAGAACACUUGAGUUAGAGUAUAAAAUGUGCUAUAUUAUGGUGUAUUAUGGUGCUAUUAGGACAAAACCUGAAAGUGCUCAAGAUUAAAAUAAAAAUUAAAAUAAGAGUGAAACUAAUAGCCGAGGAAGGAGAUACGGAGAAGCCCUGUUCUGCACAGAGGACGUGCGACAUGCAGAAGGUAAAGCCUUAGAUUAAGAGACUUUAUUAGAACACUUGAGUUAGGGUAUAAAAUGACCUAUAUUGUGGUGAAUUGAUGAGACCGUCCUAGAGUAAUAAGGAAGGGGGCGGAGUUCGACUUGAUGCGGGCAAAUUAAUUAUUGGGUUCACCUGUGGUCAGCGGUGGAGGGACACGCAGCUGAGUGAGGUGAUAAGAGGGAAACGUCUGAGACAGCGGGAGUGAUCGAAUGGCGCCGGUCGCGGUCAGUAGGAUCGCCGCCGGUGAAGAUAGUUAGUUUAUACCUCUUUUCUCCAACUUCUUUCGAGUGUGGUUGUGUUUUGAAUAGCUUACAAGAAAAUGGAGAAAAACGACAUGAAAGUAGUCAAGAUUAACAUAAAAAUUAAGGUAAAAGUGAAAGUAAUAACCAAGGAAGGUGAGACGGAAAAGCCCCGUUCUACACCGAGGAUGUGUUACAUGCCCAAGGUAAAGCCCAAGAUUAAGAGACUUUAUUAGAACACUUCAGAUAGAGUAUAAAAUGGGCAUCUGUGACGACAGCUUGAUCAGUAUUCAAACAGCUGCCCCAGCAGGGAACACCAGCAAACGACUGUGGCCAGAGGGUUCAGCCAUCCAGCGGGAGCAGCAGGCCACCCCCUCCGAGAGGAAGCAGGAGCCGUUAGGAUGAGGUCCCGGUUGGAGUACCUGGAUUGCAAAAAGCGCGCCAUGGACUUCAAUGGCUCCAGUGAUCGGUGUAUCCAGUUGGUGGGGAAGAGGGCUAGGAUAGCUAAAGGAUAUAGCUUUAAUACCCUUUCCUUGUCUUUAAACAGAAUACUGAUGAGGCUGGAUCAGUAUUCAAACAGCUGCCCCAGCAGGGAACACCAGCGAACGACUGUGGUCAGAGGGUUCAGCCAUCCAGCGGGAGCAGCAGGCCACCCCCUCCGAGAGGAAGCAGGAGCCGUUAGGAUGAGGUCCUGGUUGGAGUACCUGGAUUGCAGAAAGCGCACCAUGGACUUCAACGGCUCCAGUGAUCGGUGAUUGAAGGGAGGCCAAGGGCAGCCUCGGCCAUCCAUGGAGCAAGUCUUCACCAGGAUUGAUGGACUUGUGGGCUAUGGCCAGGGACGGAGGGUUAAUAGACCUAUGCCAAGAUAGGGCUGCCCAGUCGAGCUCCUGGAGAGCUACCACCCUGCAGAGCUUAAGUGCAGCCCUAAUUUAACACACCUACAUAUAACUGAAGGGCCUAAUUAUCUGUAUCCGGUGUGUUAAAUGAGGGCUGUACCUAAGCUCUGCAGGGUGGUAGUUCUUCAGGAGCAGGACUGGGCAGCCCUGUACUAAAGAAGAUAUGCUAAAAUAAGGUCUUUACAAUAAACAUAUACUUACUAUUUGUAGCGCCUGGCUGGAUUGCCUGUGGCAACCUUGUUGGUUUAACUCUAGGUGUGGUCAAUCUUGUGCAAAUCUUGGACCAGUAUACCUAGAUUUGGAAGGCAGGUGGGGUGUAGGUGGCAGCAUGCACACAAGGCAGUUAAUCGACUUUAUGGAUAGGGAUGAAAAAUGGUAUGACAUACACACAAAAUAAAAUGCACAACCAACAUAAAAUACACAUUAACUGAAUCUGUGAGCUUAAGUUUUAUACCCUUAGUUUCUCUGAUUAAAACUAGAUUUUAAUUCCUAUUUCACCAAUUUACCCUAUUUUUGGUUUAAUUAUGAUUAGCCUUUCAUAGCUAAAUUUAGACUCAACAACUAAUUACGUCAAGAUUAAAUUGUAAUUGGCCUUAGAUUAGAUUUAGGUUCCCCAGUUCCAAUAUGUUUUUUGAUUAAUCUUCUUAAUUCAACUCCACUCGGGGCAAGAAAAGGUAAGUAUACAACAAAUAAAAUAAAUGAAAUACAAUUAGUUACAUAAACCGCAUAAAACAGUCCUACCACAAAUCCGGUAGUUAAAUGAAUAUGAGUUGUCAACGCGAGAAUCAGUUCAGUUCCUUGGGUGACUCGCAGUCGACAUCCAACGAUAUUCGAAUGCAGCUCCAGGACCUGACCUGCGUAAGCAAACAGGUAUUAUAAUACACUACAAUAUUUACUAUAUCAGCCACUCUCUGUCUAAUCAUUACAGUUAUAAUUAAUAUAUGACACUAUAUCAACGCAAAUACUUUUACACAUAAUCAACUAAUAAUAACCUUUCUUUUACAGGUACUCCGGACAGAUAAGUAUUAGUUACCUUUCUCUUACGGCAUAAUUGUACAUUCACUUCAAUAUCGAAAUGUAUUGAAUUAUAUAAUACAUUCAAAAUAAACAUAUUUCUAAACCAAA